Non-coding RNA from Paramuricea clavata, 249 nucleotides. Lineage: Eukaryota; Metazoa; Cnidaria; Anthozoa; Malacalcyonacea; Plexauridae. The record is from the annotation of a GenBank genome assembly.
GACGUCGAUAUUCGACGUCAUAAACACGAGCAACUUCGGUGUUUCUGACGUCGAUAUUCGACGUCAUAAACACGAGCAACUUUGGUGUUUAUGACGUCGAUAUUCGACGUCAUAAACACGAGCAACUUUGGUGUUUAUGACGUCGAUAUUCGACGUCAUAAACACGAGCAACUUUGCUGUUUAUGACGUCGAUAUUCGACGUCAUAAACACGAGCAACUGCGGUGUUUAUGACGUCGACAUUCGACGUC